CCCUAAUUCAAGUUCAUGUUUUACACAACUUACCUUUGUUAACUUUUAAUCCAUUAUUCUUGUGUUUAUCAACUUCUAAUAUAAUUCUAGAUCACUUCAAGCUCAUAAAAACACUCCCUCCUAUUCCAUAGCUAGGGCAGCCAAAAUUCAAGAGCUCAUACACUUAGGUUUUUGUUCAUUUAAAUCACAAUUCUCACUAAGUUUCAAGUCCUAAACCAUGAAAAUAAAGAGUUUAAUGGAUAUAGGUGCACUAACCUCAAGUGGCA
RNAcentral lists this unclassified non-coding RNA (266 nucleotides) under Hevea brasiliensis (rubber tree). The record is from RNAcentral. Lineage: Eukaryota; Viridiplantae; Streptophyta; Magnoliopsida; Malpighiales; Euphorbiaceae.